This is a long non-coding RNA of Mesocricetus auratus (golden hamster), 1285 nucleotides long. RefSeq lists it as uncharacterized. Lineage: Eukaryota; Metazoa; Chordata; Mammalia; Rodentia; Cricetidae. The record is from RefSeq and is a predicted model, not a curated record. The transcript is spliced from 2 exons.
UUUUCUAAAUGUGGGAUGCACGUUAAAAAUCAAGCAAUGUCUUCGAAUGCUUUCCUGUUUAAAAGACUGAUGGUGUGGCCUGAAGACCUUGGUCUCUGCUGCCCUUGCUGUCUGGACACACAUGGAGUAACCAGUUUCUCGUCCCUGAAGCAAUGGAGGCAUGUGGGGCUCCACACACAGUCACUCCCCGGCUUGGGUUGCUGGUCAUCGUAAUCACUUUGAGCCUGAGUCAUCUGGUCUGCACACACUGGGGAGACAGGCACAGAGCCGUGCCCUGUGCUCCGCCUUGUGUCACAGGCACUCAUGGCACCGCAUGGAGACAGGAUUCUGGGCACCAGUCCACGGGCCAGUGAAGGUUAGAGUGGCAUUAUUCUUAUAACUGGGUAAAAGGAGCUCACAGACCUUAGAGACCGAGACAUGCUUUUUGAAUUGAACUUGUGUUAAGAGAGGAGGGGAAGUGACAGCGUUCUAAGAAACACACGUAACCCGUGAUGCUCUCCUGUUCUUCCUUGCUCCUGUGCCGUCGCUACAGGCUCUAGCAGCUGAAGCUGAGAUGGUGUCCCAGCAGCAGAGGGAAAGGGAAACGUGAGUCCUUCUUCUUGAAGAAGACAGCAAAGGCUGUUUUGGGCAGCUUUUCCAUCAUUCUCCCAAAAGUUACAGACGGACGCACAGUAGCUGUGGCCAUGGACAGUCUACAAGGGGUCAGAGGAGUGUGGUGCUUGCCACCGGAAGAAGGAAGCAAGAACGCAGAGCCCUUGAGCCGUUUCACGUGGCAUGUUCCCUACCAGGGACAGACUUCUGCUUACGAACAAACAAGUUGGCUCUUCCUUUCCACUAUGAUCAUGAGCUCUGCUUCUUGUUGUGCAGAAUGUUAUCUACUGAUCAAGAUUCAUUCCCUCUAAUUAGAAGUUCAAGAGCAACCUUAGCCGCAGAGCAGUUCAAGCCCAGCGCUGGGAUCACCAGACCACCAGACCACCAGACCACCAGACCACCAGACCAUUGCAACGUUUUAUGAACCGCAUUUCCUUCCCAGACACCUGAACAGUCAGCUAUGGCCAUGGACUGAAUUCUAGCAGUGACCAAACAGUAACUGAUAGUGCUUUUUCCUGAUCUUUUAGGUCACCCCUCACCCCACAGGUCUGGGAUCCUGCAUCACUACUUAAUUCUAUGUCCUAUUUUCUUCACUCAUCUCAGGCAACAACUUUUAAAAUUACAUCUUCCUAGUAUACAUUCAGCGGAUGUCAUGUGAGGUCCACUUGGAAUCGAAAUAAAGCUUUUGUCCUCA